This 486-nucleotide ribosomal RNA is filed under the name uncultured bacterium. Its description in RNAcentral is "partial 16S ribosomal RNA". It matches the Rfam family "Bacterial small subunit ribosomal RNA", at positions 28 to 507 of the family's 1533-position model. The record is from RNAcentral.
GACGAACGCUGGCGGCGUGCUUAACACAUGCAAGUCGAACGGGAUCCCAAGGCUUUUUGUUUUUGGUGAGAGUGGCGAACGGGUGAGUAACACGUGAGUAACCUGCCCCCUUCUUUUGGAUAACCGCAUGAAAGUGUGGCUAAUACAGGAUAUUCCAGGCUGGUCGCAUGAUUGGUUUGGGAAAUGGUUUGGUCUGGUGGGGGAUGGGCUCGCGGCCUAUCAGCUUGUUGGUGGGGUGAUGGCCUACCAAGGCGGUGACGGGUAGCCGGCCUGGGAGGGUGGGCGGUCAAACUGGGACUGAGAUACGGCCCAGACGCCUACGGGAGGCAGCAGUGGGGGAUUAUGCACAAUGGGCGCAAGCCUGAUGCAGCGACGCCGCGUGAGGGAUGAAGGCCUUCGGGUUGUAAACCUCUUUCGCUGGGUUGAAAGGCCAUGCUUUGGGUGUGGUUGAUUUGAACUGGUAAAGAAGUACCGGCUAACUACGUG